This 794-nucleotide long non-coding RNA is filed under the name Rattus norvegicus (Norway rat). RNAcentral describes it as "long non-coding RNA NONRATT028967". The record is from RNAcentral. Lineage: Eukaryota; Metazoa; Chordata; Mammalia; Rodentia; Muridae.
GAUACUGUCUGCUAUGGGGAGCCUAGGCCCCUGAACAGGAGCCUAACUCCUGGUUUAUUACAGGGGAUGACAGGUGCUCUGCUGGACUGCAAAUCUAUGCUGAACAGGAUACUCCUACUCAAGACCUGACAAGUUCCAGCCUUUGAGCAACUUGAAGGUCAACUGCCCUGACCCUGGGCUGAUGAACUAAUUGGAAGUUUUUUUUGUUUUUGUUUGUUUUGAACUUAGUGAGUUUAUUCUGGCCAAAGGCUAGGGGAGGGACAGAGAACCUGUCCAGAGCAGACCUUGAGAAAUACAGGCAGAAUGUCCGUUGGCAGCACAGAGCUGAGGAAGUGUUGGGCAGAGCCUUUCAAUGGAAGGUGCAACAGAAGCCUGAGCUCUCUCCCUUCCGAUGGCUGACCGGGAAGUCAGGUGAGUGUGGACUUUGGAGCCUGUAAGGAGGCCAAGGCCAGCAGAAAGUGUCUGUUGUUCCAAGUAUAGCUGGGCCUUUGAGGGCUAUGGGGCUUAGGUUGUAACCUCACUUUAGAUAAUCUGGUACUGUUGGGACCAGAACCAUUCCACAACUCUAUGUGGCUACACUCACUCCUUAGGCAAGGCAGCUAGGCAGGCUAAUCUCCAGAAGGACCCCAUGACCUUCCGUUUCCAGAUUCCUAAACAGAAUGGACAGGUGAGUGGACACUGCUGCAUCUUGAGGGCUGGAGAUGGUGUGUGAACACAGCCACCUGUUGGCCGUGCCUGGUAUUGCUACAGGCAAUGUUUGGACUCUUUCUAGCCAAGGCUUGUUUUGCUAGCUU